RNAcentral lists this ribosomal RNA (497 nucleotides) under uncultured bacterium. RNAcentral's name for it is "partial 16S ribosomal RNA". It matches the Rfam family "Bacterial small subunit ribosomal RNA", at positions 28 to 507 of the family's 1533-position model. The record is from RNAcentral.
GAUGAACGCUGGCGGCGUGCCUAAUACAUGCAAGUCGAGCGAACAGACGAGGAGCUUGCUCCUCUGACGUUAGCCGCGGACGGGUGAGUAACACGUGGAUAACCCCCCUAUAAGACUGGGAUAACUUCGGGAAACCGGAGCUAAUACCGUAUAAUCUACUGCACCGUAUGGUUCAAUAGUGAAAGACGGCUUUUCUGUCACUUAUAGAUGGAUCUGGGCGGCUUGAGAUAGUUGGUAAGUUCACGGCUUACCAAGGCAACGAUGCGUAGCCGAACUACGAGGCGGAUCGGCCACCCUGGAGCGGAAACACGGACAAGGGUCCUGCGGGAGGCACCAGUAGGGAACCUUCCGCAGUAGGCGAGAACCUGGCGGAGCAACGGGGAGUGAGUGGUAGAGAUCUUCGGAGCGUAAUACUCUGUUAUUAGGGAAGAACAGAUGUGUAAGUAACUAAGCACGGCUUGACGGUACCUAAUCAAGAAGCCACGGCUAACUACGUG